Non-coding RNA from Callithrix jacchus (white-tufted-ear marmoset), 1359 nucleotides. The record is from RefSeq and is a predicted model, not a curated record. Lineage: Eukaryota; Metazoa; Chordata; Mammalia; Primates; Cebidae.
ACAGAGAUGGACCAAUCCAAGAAAGGCGCGGGGAUUUUUGAAUUUUCUUGUGGCCAAUAGUUGGUGUUCUGAUGCUAUAAAAGAAGAGCAGCUCUCUCUCCUCCACAGACGUUCCUGAAGGCGGGCUUUUCUCUGGUUGUUUUUUUUUUUUGCCAUGGCUCGUACAAAACAGACUGCUCGCAAAUCUACUGGCGGCAAAGCACCGCGCAAGCAGCUCGCUACCAAGGCGGCUCGCAAGAGCGCCCCGGCUACCGGCGGCGUCAAAAAGCCGCACCGCUACCGGCCCGGCACCGUGGCCCUGCGCGAGAUCCGGCGCUACCAGAAGUCCACCGAGCUGCUGAUCAGAAAGCUGCCGUUUCAGCGCCUGGUGCGCGAGAUCGCGCAGGACUUCAAGACCGACCUGCGCUUUCAGAGCUCCGCGGUGAUGGCGCUGCAGGAGGCCUGCGAGGCCUACUUGGUGGGGCUCUUCGAGGACACCAACCUCUGUAACCUGUAAAGUAUGUCUGGUCGUGGCAAAGGUGGCAAAGGCUUGGGCAAAGGAGGCGCCAAGCGUCAUCGUAAAGUGCUGCGGGAUAACAUCCAAGGCAUUACCAAGCCGGCUAUCCGACGCCUGGCCAGGCGUGGCGGGGUUAAGCGAAUCUCGGGUUUGAUUUACGAGGAGACUCGCGGGGUCCUCAAGGUCUUCCUGGAGAACGUGAUCCGAGAUGCGGUGACCUACACGGAGCACGCCAAGCGAAAGACCGUCACUGCCAUGGAUGUGGUUUACGCGCUGAAGCGUCAAGGCCGCACGCUGUAUGGCUUCGGCGGUUAAUUUUUCCUUUAUUUUUCUUCUCAAUGGCCCUUUUCAGGGCCGCCCACUCCCUCAAAAAAAAAGCUGUGACUGUAUUCUUUUUGAGACCAAUGUUUUGGCUUUCUCAGCCACUCUACCUGGUGUGCACCGCUUAUAUAGGCCAGUCGGGAAACACCAGGUUCUUACGUCUGGGCGGCUGCUGAAGCAGUCGGAUUUAAGCAAACGAGAUGUCGCUGGGAUUCCCCAGGCUACUGAGGUUUCCUCCAGCGGAGGAGAAUGUAAAGGGUGUGGACCCCUGGCAUCUUGCAGCAUUAGUGUUCUAUAUUGUCCUACGUUUCCUGUAAGUGAACUACUAACUUUAAUGCUGCGCUUUUGACACAUCAAACAACUUUACCGUAUAGCGCUAGUCCAAUAAAUUGUUCACCUUUUUAGUUUUAAAAAUACGCUUUUAAGUAUUUGUACAAGAGCUUAGGUGGCAGCCGCCUGCAAGCGGGUAGGGCGAUUAAAACAGUCACGUGUUUCCCAGGCACAUCUGACUUGAGCAACGAACGUCUGCACUUUCAGCCUCC